This 531-nucleotide small RNA is filed under the name Pongo abelii (Sumatran orangutan). RNAcentral describes it as "processed transcript". Lineage: Eukaryota; Metazoa; Chordata; Mammalia; Primates; Hominidae. The record is from RNAcentral.
AGCUUUGUCUUCCUCGGGCUGGCUCCUGCGGAUCCUUCCUGGGCCAGAACUGCACCUCUAGGCCACCUGCCCCAAGCCACCAAGCCCCCGCGGUGGGCCAGCCUUGGCCCAGUGUCACGCAGGACAGAAAUGACCAACAGAUAACUGAGGACAAUGGACCUGCCUGGGCAUAGACUUCCUUAAGCCUCUCUCCACCGGUCACUGUUAGCCUCGAGUUUGACCCUCAACAUCCCCAGAGGAUGCCUCCUAGGACUCGAACCUCAUUUAGUGUCUCUACUGCUGAUGGAUGCCAUGAGUGGAGCUGUCGACCACCUUGGGUGAAGUGGUGGUCUCCAUGUCCCAACUGGGCAGCACGAUGACCACAGAAAGGUUGUAUCUACCCACCCAGCACAACACAUACAGAAAUUUCAAAAGAGCCUAUUUAAGUAGAUGAGCAUAGAUAGAUAAUUCUGGGAGAACAUCCUUAAAAGGAGUUUGGUGUUUUGUUUUGCUUUGUAUUGGUUUCUGUCUAAAUAAACUAGACUGCUUUAA